CGUCGGUUCUCCCGCGACGAUAGUUUGCAAAUCCCGCCAGGGCCGGAAGGCAGCAACGGUAGUGAACGAUUCGGGUGCCGGGAUGUGGCUGGCGGGG
RNAcentral lists this signal recognition particle RNA (97 nucleotides) under Pseudomonadota bacterium. RNAcentral's name for it is "Proteobacteria bacterium (activated sludge metagenome) signal recognition particle sRNA small type". It matches the Rfam family "Bacterial small signal recognition particle RNA". Rfam says of the family: The signal recognition particle (SRP) is a universally conserved ribonucleoprotein involved in the co-translational targeting of proteins to membranes. Archaeal SRP consists of a 7S RNA and homologues of the eukaryotic SRP19 and SRP54 proteins. The record is from RNAcentral. RNAcentral also lists the same sequence under 1 other name. Lineage: Bacteria; Pseudomonadati; Pseudomonadota.